GCCCUACGGGGCGCAGCAGUGGGGAAUAUUGCACAAUGGGGGAAACCCUGAUGCAGCGACGCCGCGUGAGUGAAGAAGUAUUUCGGUAUGUAAAGCUCUAUCAGCAGGGAAGAAAAAAGACGGUACCUGAAGAAAAAGCAUCGGCUAACUCCGUGCCAGCAGCCGCGGUAAUACGGAGGAUGCGAGCGUUAUCCGGAUUUAUUGGGUUUAAAGGGUGCGCAGGCGGGAGAUCAAGUCAGCGGUAAAAUGUCGGGGCUCAACCCCGGCCGGCCGUUGAAACUGGUUUUCUAGAGUUGGAGAGAAGG
Molecule: ribosomal RNA, 305 nt
Filed under: uncultured bacterium
Lineage: Bacteria
Description: bacterial SSU rRNA
Rfam family: Bacterial small subunit ribosomal RNA
Source: RNAcentral